This 363-nucleotide long non-coding RNA is filed under the name Papio anubis (olive baboon). RNAcentral's name for it is "lncRNA (ENSPANG00000047412.1)". The record is from RNAcentral. Lineage: Eukaryota; Metazoa; Chordata; Mammalia; Primates; Cercopithecidae.
UCACCUGAAUUUGACUGUCCCCACAGAAACAACAGAAGAAACAAGUGGAACAUCAGCUGGAAGAAGAAAAGAAAGCAAACAAUGAAAUACACAAAGCACAAAUGGAGCAGUUAGAGACAAUCAACAUCCUCACGCUGGAAAAGGCAGACUUGAAGACCACCCUUUACCAUACUAAACGUGCCGCCAGACACUUCGAAGGUGGGAAUCUGGGCACCCCGUCAUCCUUCAAUCUGGCACUUUGACAGGUCUUUAGGGGGAGUCCUUUUGGGCCCCCAUCUCAGCCUCUGUCGUUGCAGAAGAGUCAAAAGGAUCUGGCUGGCCACCUGUAAUCCUCCUUACAGUGUAUUCAAGAAUUGGAGCAGG